RNAcentral lists this long non-coding RNA (279 nucleotides) under Mytilus galloprovincialis (Mediterranean mussel). The record is from RNAcentral. Lineage: Eukaryota; Metazoa; Mollusca; Bivalvia; Mytilida; Mytilidae.
CAAAAAUAUAAAAAUUUCAAAAAAUUUUAACCAACCGUUUUAUCAGAAAAAUUACACUGGUUUUAUAGCAGUUUGACAAACACUUAUUUUGAUCAUUGAAAAGCUUAAUAUUCCCUUAACAACACAACUUAAUUAAAACGUUUAGAUGAUUGUACAGAGUUAUCUCCCUGUAGUGUUAGGUACCACCUUAAACAGGUUUAGAAAGCAUCAGUUUUAAAAUGAAAAUUACCUAGACAAAAUUGAUUGUUAUUUACACUUGAAAUUUAUUUUUGACAAAAC